GUCUUUUUGAAUUAAAAAUUUAAAGUUGAAUCUGCCCACUGAUUAAUAAAUUAAAGGGCUGCAGUAUAUUGACUGUACAAAGGUAGCAUAAUAAUUAGUCUUUUAAUUGAAGACUUGUAUGAAAGAUUUGAUGAGAUAUAAACUGUCUCUUUUUUAUAAUUAGAAUUUAAUUUUUCAGUAAAAAAGCUGAAAUAAAUUUAAAAGACGAGAAGACCCUAUAGAGUUUUAUAAUUAAGUUUAAUUAUAUAUUUAUAUUUAAAUUUAAAGUUAAUUAAUUUAAUUAUUUUGUUGGGGUGAUAGAAAAAAUAAAUUAACUUUUUUUAAAUAUAAAACAUUAAUUAAUGAAUUUAUGAUCCAUAUUUUAUGAUUAAAAGAAAAAAUUACCUUAGGGAUAACAGCGUAAUUUUUUUUUUUAGUUCUUAUAAGAAAAAAAGUUUGCGACCUCGAUGUUGGAUUAAGAUAAAAUUUAAAUGUAGAAGUUUAAAAUUUUUGAUCUGUUCGAUCAUUAAAAUCUUACA
Molecule: ribosomal RNA, 518 nt
Filed under: Zinaida matsuii
Lineage: Eukaryota; Metazoa; Arthropoda; Insecta; Lepidoptera; Hesperiidae
Description: partial 16S ribosomal RNA
Rfam family: Bacterial large subunit ribosomal RNA (bases 391-518)
Source: RNAcentral